Molecule: ribosomal RNA, 743 nt
Filed under: uncultured bacterium
Lineage: Bacteria
Description: bacterial SSU rRNA
Rfam family: Bacterial small subunit ribosomal RNA
Source: RNAcentral
UGAUGGAGGGGGAUAACUACUGGAAACGGUAGCUAAUACCGCAUGACCUCGCAAGAGCAAAGUGGGGGACUUUCGGGCCUCACGCCAUCGGAUGUGCCCAGAUGGGAUUAGCUAGUAGGUGGGGUAAUGGCUCACCUAGGCGACGAUCCCUAGCUGGUCUGAGAGGAUGACCAGCCACACUGGAACUGAGACACGGUCCAGACUCCUACGGGAGGCAGCAGUGGGGAAUAUUGCACAAUGGGCGCAAGCCUGAUGCAGCCAUGCCGCGUGUGUGAAGAAGGCCUUAGGGUUGUAAAGCACUUUCAGCGAGGAGGAAGGGUUCAGUGUUAAUAGCACUGUGCAUUGACGUUACUCGCAGAAGAGGCACCGGCUAACUCCGUGCCAGCAGCCGCGGUAAUACGGAGGGUGCAAGCGCUAAUCGGAAUUACUGGGCGUAAAGCGCACGCAGGCGGUUUGUUAAGUCAGAUGUGAAAUCCCCGAGCUUAACUUGGGAACUGCAUUUGAAACUGGCAAGCUAGAGUCUUGUAGAGGGGGGUAAAAUUCCAGGUGUAGCGGUGAAAUGCGUAGAGAUCUGGAGGAAUACCGGUGGCGAAGGCGGCCCCCUGGACAAAGACUGACGCUCAGGUGCGAAAGCGUGAGGAGCAAACAGGAUUAGAUACCCUGGUAGUCCACGCUGUAAACGAUGUCGACUUGGAGGUUGUGCCCUUGAGGCGUGGCUUCCGGAGCUAACGCGUAAGUCGACC